Molecule: ribosomal RNA, 213 nt
Filed under: uncultured bacterium
Lineage: Bacteria
Description: partial 16S ribosomal RNA
Rfam family: Bacterial small subunit ribosomal RNA
Source: RNAcentral
UACGUAGGGGCCAAGCGUUGUCCGGAUUUAUUGGGCGUAAAGAGCUCGUAGGCGGUUCGGCAAGUCGAAUGUGAAAUCUCCACGCUCAACGUGGAGGGGUCAUUCGAUACUGCCGUGACUCGAGUCCGGUAGGGGAGUGUGGAAUUCCCGGUGUAGCGGUGAAAUGCGCAGGAUAUCGGGAGGAACACCAAUGGCGAAGGCGAGCUUGCUGGG